AGCAUUUGGUUAACUUGAUUCUACUUGCAGAUAACUUCCUGAGAAUGAUGUGGCUUUCCAUGCACCAUAACUACAGGGAGAAAAAUAUACUAUUCCUAUGAACUAUGGCUAACCUGGUGUCUGCGACAGUUAAUUCUCACUGUGAGGGGAUAGUCCAGUCCCUGUUACUCCAUCUUGGCUGGAAGUGGAAAUUGAAUCUUUGUCUUUUGAAAGUGGAUUUAAUAUUUAGAAACAGCCCAAGGAAAGGGUGGCUGUGCUGGUAAGGUAAGGAGGACCAAAGACAAAGACACCCAUUGUCGUGAUAAAUACUCAGACCAGGCUGUAUCACCACAGUGGCCAACGUAAAGUGGAGAAAACUCAGAAGUAUUAAACUACUCUCCAUGACUAUCUGGUUAGUAAACAGAGGACUCGGGACUAGGACUCAUCUGGAACUCCUACGUCAGUCCUUUUCCCACUGCACAGUGCUGCCUCUCCAGUCAAAUUCUUGGGCAUAACUGAAAUGCAGCCUAAAGAAAUUAAAAAUGGCCCACUUGAAAGAGGAAAAGAUAAUUUUCAACUUCCCAGGACCCACCUGGCAUUGUGCUUGCAAACAAGUCCAGGGAACAGAAUCCACUGACUUCUGAUAAGGAACUCCUGAAGGGAUGGAAUCAUUCUAAGGCCUAACAUUAAUGGUGAGAAAAUGGUCUUUCCAAGGGGGCCAAUUAGAGGCUUGGUAGCGUGAAGUAUUUUUCAGAAUGUCAUAGCUCAGGGAAGCUGGGGAAAGGUGGUUAUGUUGCCUUGAAGAAUUGUACAAAGUAGGUUAGCAGCGUUGCUUCCAUUUUUGUGAAAGAAUGCCUUUCUAAUUUUAGAUUCUUUCAAAAAGUGGGUAGGCUUUUGUGUGAGGGGAAGCUUUUCUCAGUACUCAUUUUGAGAGGUGCCUGUGAAAUCAUUUUAUAUCCUGUUUGGAAAAGGAAGACAAUGUGGUGGAAAUGUAAAAUGAGUUUGCGUAAAAAUUUAUCUUCCCCAGAAGAUACGGCAGAAAUAGGACUCCACAGCCAUACUUAUUACUUUUUCCCCUAAGUUAUAGAGAUGUGUGUUAUCAGUUCAGUGCAGGUAUUGGGCUCCUUUAACUGUAAUGUGUCUCCUGAUGUUAUACAGUAGGAACUAUUUAUUUAGCCGAUCAUUCAAGAAGGAACAAAGACCUUUAUUAAACUCCUGGAGAGUGUUGGGUUUUCCCUAGCUUCACAAUAUCUCCACUAUAAUUUAUUUUGUAAAUUCUAAUUUUCAGAGCGUUAAAAUAUAGCUCAUAAAAUGACUUUUUGUUUUUAACCCAUUUUUUCCUCUGGUAAAACAGCAAAUAUUCCAAAUUCACAUGCCCCCCAAAAAGAAAAGAAGGGUUCCCACCAAGGACCUGAGGUCACUUUAUAGGUUGACAAUUGUGUGGAGCUUUUUUAAAGCAACUGAGGUUGGAUUAUGUCCUAAGAAGCCAUUUUUCAAAUUUUCUUUCAACCGAAGAAUUUUACAUUUAUUUUAAAAUUGGGAAUUUUAUCUAUAAAGAUGAAGGCUUAGAGAAACCUGGGAUCUAAGAUUGUAAAAUUACCAAGUGGUCUGGUUGCCAAGUCCUAGAAGGCUAGGGUUAGAUUAGAUUAGAAUUGAAGGUCAUCUUUUUAGGACCAAUCAAAGUCAGUGAGAUUCUCCUGACUGGGGAGUAUGCAUAUAAGACUUCCAUUACCUCCAGAGAGACUGCAAAUCUAAGGAGGGAAAUGAAGGAUCCUAAUAAAUGUUUAACAUAUAUGGCCCCAUUUAAUCCUCACAAACUACUUUGGAGAGUCCACAUUUUAUAGAAGAGAUAAUAAGGCUCAGAUAGAAGUUUGUCAAUAGGCCCAAGGCCACAUGGCUAAUAAAUAGCAAAACUAGAAUUUAAAUCCAAAUCUGUGAGACUGUCAAACCUAUGCUCAUCUCACUGUACCUAUGGAGGUUCAAGAAGACCUUAAGCAAAGUCUUAGUAGAUAGAGUUAGAGUUAUAUAGAGUUAUUAAGAGAAACCAAGGAUAUUAAAGUUUUCCUUAAUAUUUGAGACUGAUACCGAGAACAACUAGACUCAUCUACCUUGGGGCUCAGACAUAGAACUUAAAGCUAGGUAGAUGAUAAAGCUGAGGUUUCAUUCAUGCCAGGCUCUCUUGUGGCCAGUUAAUAAAGCUGCCUUUAAGUGAGAUACAAAUCCAUGGCCUAGUCAGCUAAUCUCGGAUUGAUACGGUGCAAAUCAUUAUGAUCUUUUGGAUACUUGUGACCUAGAAGAUCUCUUCUGGUUACUUUGUUUAUCUGAGGUUUGUGAUAGGUGUGUAAGAGUCAUGUCCUGUACAAGUGAAUGUAUAGAAGGGGCCUGUCCAGAACAGAUUUGUCAUUUAUUAGUAUUGGCCAAGCUGCUUCUAGAUUCAAAUAAGACAUGUCCAUUAAUUAUCUGGCUUAAAUGAAAUUCUUUCAAUAAAUAAUUUCAUUAUAUGAUAUUUUCCUUUUUGUUUGUCUCUCCCCAUUAAAAUGCAAGCUUCAUGAGAGUAGGGAUCUUGUCUGUCUUGUUUACUGUGGUAACAUGACCUCCUAGAACAGGUGCUUUGCAUAGAGCAGGUCAGUAAAUGUUUGUUCAGUGAACAUAAACACUGUAGGCCCACAAUGAUUCUUGUCAAUCUGUUUCCUUGCUCAGUUCUUUCUCCUGUUCACCACAUGAACAGAAAAGUGUUCAUGCCCAAGAAGGAAAGGAAAUGGUGAACAUUUAGCCAGUCUCCCUCAUCCUAUUUGGUUUUUUAAAAAAUUAUUUUAUUGAGGUCAUAUUGGCUUAUAACGUUGUAUAAAUUUCAGGUGUACAUUGUUAUAUAUCAAUUUCUGUAUAGACUGCAUUGUGUUGACCACCAAUAGUCUAGUUUUUAUCUGUUACCAUACAUAUGUGCCCCUUUACCCAUUUCGCCCUCUCCCCACACACUUUCCCUCUGGUAACCACUGAUCUAUUUGGUUUGUUUUAUCUACUGUGUUUUUACCUUCAGCUUCUAGAUUGGCUCAUUUCAUCAGAUUUUUAUUUAUUUUAUUUAUUUAUUUUUUUGGUGAGGAAGAUUGGCCCUGAGCUAACAUCUAUUGUCAAUCUUCCUCUUUUUGCUUGAGGAAGAUUAUCACUGAGAUAACAUUUGUGCCAAUUUUCCUCUAUCUUGUGUGUGGGAUACUGCCACAGCAUGGUUUAAUGAGCAGUGUGUAGGUCCAUACCUGGGAUUUGAACCUAUGAACCCUGGGCUGCCAAACUGGAGCACAUGAACUUAAGCACUACACCACUGGGCCGGCCUCCCAUUAGAGUUUUAAAGCAUGAUUAAGUUUCUCCCAACUUUUAAAACAAAACAAACAACAGCAACACUUUCCUUGCAUCUUCUUCUGUAUUAGUUUCCUAGGGCUAUUGUAACAAAGUACCACAAGCUGAGUGGCUUGAAAAACAGAAAUUUAUUCUCUCACAGCUCUGGGGGCUAGAAGUCUGAAAUUGAGAUGUUGACAGGGCCAUGCUCCCUCUGAGACUCUAUUCUAGGUAGAAUUCUUCCUUGCCUUUUCCUAGUUUCUAGCAGUGGCCAUUGAUUUUUGAUGUUCUUUGACUUGCAGCUGCAUCACUCUGAUCUCUCCCUCGUUUUUCUCAUGAUAUUCUCCCUGUGUGUGUCUGUCUUCAAAUGUCAUUUUCUUCUUCUUAUAAGGAC
Molecule: long non-coding RNA, 3703 nt
Organism: Equus caballus (horse)
Lineage: Eukaryota; Metazoa; Chordata; Mammalia; Perissodactyla; Equidae
Source: Ensembl